CGGGACGGGUGAGUAACACGUGAGCAACCUGCCUUCGAGGAGGGGAAUAACGGCUGGAAACGGUCGCUAAUACCGCAUAACAUACUGGGAGGACAUCCUGCUGGUAUCAAAGAUUUUAUCGCUCGAAGAUGGGCUCGCGUCCGAUUAGGUAGUUGGUGAGGUAACGGCUCACCAAGCCGACGAUCGGUAGCCGGACUGAGAGGUUGAACGGCCACAUUGGGACUGAGACACGGCCCAGACUCCUACGGAAGGCAGCAG
This 258-nucleotide ribosomal RNA is filed under the name uncultured bacterium. RNAcentral's name for it is "partial 16S ribosomal RNA". It matches the Rfam family "Bacterial small subunit ribosomal RNA", at positions 98 to 354 of the family's 1533-position model. The record is from RNAcentral.